This is a long non-coding RNA of Lates calcarifer (barramundi perch), 386 nucleotides long. RefSeq lists it as uncharacterized. NCBI's taxonomy places the organism in Eukaryota, Metazoa, Chordata, Actinopteri, Centropomidae. The record is from RefSeq and is a predicted model, not a curated record. The transcript is spliced from 3 exons.
GAAGAAUAAUAUAUGAACAUAUAAGGGUGUAAGGAUUUUUAAAUGAGAUUUUUAAAAAUCUUUUUUCUGGCUUCAUUGUCCAGCGGACCUGAGGAUCACAACAGCUCCUAAUAACAUCCAGGUGUCUGAGGGCAGCACAGCUCUGCUCCCCUGUGUAGUGUCAGGAGACAACAUUAAUAUCGGCUGGUCCAGAAAUGGUGUACCGGUGCGUCCAGAUGGUCGUAACAUCCUCAUGUCAUCUGACGGCAGCUUGAUCCUAAAUAAUGUAAAACCAUCAGACGAGGGAACCUAUACCUGUAACGCUUACACUGGCAUCUACUCUGUGAGCGCCACAGCUGAAGUGAGGGUCAUUAAAGACACACAACAAGGUGAUUAUGUGCCGCCAG